This 465-nucleotide ribosomal RNA is filed under the name uncultured Bacteroides sp. RNAcentral describes it as "bacterial SSU rRNA". It matches the Rfam family "Bacterial small subunit ribosomal RNA", at positions 916 to 1381 of the family's 1533-position model. The record is from RNAcentral. Lineage: Bacteria; Pseudomonadati; Bacteroidota; Bacteroidia; Bacteroidales; Bacteroidaceae.
CGGGGCCCGCACAAGCGGAGGAACAUGUGGUUUAAUUCGAUGAUACGCGAGGAACCUUACCCGGGCUUGAAUUGCAGAGGAACAUAGUUGAAAGAUUAUGGCCGCAAGGUCUCUGUGAAGGUGCUGCAUGGUUGUCGUCAGCUCGUGCCGUGAGGUGUCGGCUUAAGCGCCAUAACGAGCGCAACCCUUAUCAUUAGUUACUAACAGGUCAUGCUGAGGACUCUAGUGAGACUGCCGUCGUAAGAUGUGAGGAAGGUGGGGAUGACGUCAAAUCAGCACGGCCCUUACGUCCGGGGCUACACACGUGUUACAAUGGGGGGUACAGAGGGCAGCUACCGGGCGACCGGAUGCCAAUCCCAAAAACCUCUCUCAGUUCGGAUCGAAGUCUGCAACCCGACUUCGUGAAGCUGGAUUCGCUAGUAAUCGCGCAUCAGCCACGGCGCGGUGAAUACGUUCCCGGGCCUU